Molecule: transfer RNA, 64 nt
Filed under: Torleya grandiforceps
Lineage: Eukaryota; Metazoa; Arthropoda; Insecta; Ephemeroptera; Ephemerellidae
Description: tRNA-Met
Source: RNAcentral
AAAAAGAUAAGCUAAGAUUAAGCUAGUAGGUUCAUACCCUAUUUAUGGGGUCACCCUCUUUUUA